Molecule: long non-coding RNA, 224 nt
Filed under: Lathyrus oleraceus (garden pea)
Lineage: Eukaryota; Viridiplantae; Streptophyta; Magnoliopsida; Fabales; Fabaceae
Description: Pisum sativum (pea) long non-coding RNA (PSAT_LNC023658)
Source: RNAcentral
UCAAUUCCAACAUGUUAUUUCAUCAAAACCUCAAAGUUACAUUCACCUAUUCACAUACAUUUUACAAUUCCAAUCCAAAACUAUAAGAAUUCCAAACUUACAUAAUAUUUACAAUUUCAUAAACCAACAACCCAUUUCCAUAUACAAAUCCAAACAUUCCAUUCAAAUUCAAGGCUCAAGUACAUAAUCAUGUCAAUACCUUACACAUGAAUCAAAUUCAAAAA